This is a long non-coding RNA of Pelobates fuscus (common spadefoot toad), 479 nucleotides long. RefSeq lists it as uncharacterized. The record is from RefSeq and is a predicted model, not a curated record. Lineage: Eukaryota; Metazoa; Chordata; Amphibia; Anura; Pelobatidae. The transcript is spliced from 3 exons.
UGUGUAAUAGGGAGUGGUGAUCAGAGGAGCUCAGUGACAAAGACCCAGCUAGCAGCUAUCAAAUACUGCAUCAAGAGCAGAUCAAGAUUGGGAGAGGAUGGUGUGAUUAAUAAUCAGUGCCUGCCGCUAUGUGGCCAGGAAAAUAGGAGCAGCUGUUGGGCGUGAAGAUGAUGGCGAGAAGAAAGAUGGAGGUUGUGGAGCCACCAAGGGCUCCAUGAAGUCUUCUUGUGCUCUUCGUACAGGUGGGAAAAGGAAAGAUGCUACGGUGCGACCUCCGCCCUCGGACCCUUCCACUCCCCUGACUUCUCAGCCUACUGAAGGUUCGCCACCUACCUCAGCUCUGCAACCAUGUGAGCCUUCGCCUUACUGAAUAGGAAAGUGCCCCAUAGCAGGAGAAUGACCCUCCUCUCAGCAGUCUCUGGAUUGAGAGGGGGCGAGGAAUAUACCUGCUGUGUUCUUAAUAAACAUAUGAACCAUUA